GGGAAAAAGUAUUUGAUCCUAUGCUGAUUUUGUAUGUUUGCCCACUGAUAAAGAAAGGAUCAGUCUAUAAUUUUAAUGGUAGGUUUAUUUGAACAGUGAGAGACAGAAUAACAACAAAAAUAUCCAGAAAACGCAUGUCAAAAAUGUUAUAAAUUGAUUUGCAUUUUCAUGAGGGAAAUACGUAUUUGACCCCCUCUCAAUCAGAAAGAUUUCUGGCUCCCAGGUGUCUUUUAUACAGGUAAUGAGCUGAGAUUAGGAGCACACUCUUAAAAUGGUGUAAAAUAGUCAUAUGUUUGAGAAAUUGAAGUUAUAGCAUUUUUUAGGUAUUUGUAUUUGGCGCCACGUUCUACCAUUGGAUAUUGGUGAGGCGUUCCGGCUGCGGAACGUCUGUCCUUUAACCACUGAAUGUGUCAUCAGUAGGUGUUAACCACUGAAUGUGUCAUCAGUAGGUGUUAACCACUGAAUGUGUCGUCAGUAGGCGUUAACCACUGAAUGUGUCGUCAGUAGGUGUUAACCACUGAAUGUGUCAUCAGUAGGUGUUAACCACUGAAUGUGUCAUCAGUAGGUGUUAACCACUGAAUGUGUCAUCUUCAGUAGGUGUUAACCACUGAAUGUGUCAUCUUCAGUAGGUGUUAACCACUGAAUGUGUCGUCAGUAGGUGUUAACCACUGAAUGUGUCAUCAGUAGGUGUUAACCACUGAAUGUGUCGUCAGUAGGUGUUAACCACUGAAUGUGUCGUCAGUAGGUGUUAACCACUGAAUGUGUCAUCAGUAGGUGUUAACCACUGAAUGUGUCGUCGGUAGGUGUUAACCACUGAAUGUGUCGUCGGUAGGCGUUAACCACUGAAUGUGUCAUCAGUAGGUGUAGGCCACAAUGAGUUAGCAGAAAGGAAAAUGGAGGGUAUAAAGGGGGCAAUUUUGGGGUACGACUCUCUUUGAGGUUCCUAGAAGAAUCUGUUGACUGCUGGAAGAAGAUUUUUGCUCUAGUUUUUUAGCUUAAAAUAUAUUUUGAUUUUAAAGUAAAAUUCUAGGAGGAUUCCUUAAGUUUACCCCAUUGAUAGAAAUGUGUUAAAGUAACGUUUUAGAUGCCAUCUGAGGGACUGAUCAUCCUGAGAGCCAAAUAAAAAACAUUUAUAAAGUUGUAGAAUGUAAGAAACUGUUUUUCUUGUUAUUAACAAUUGUGCUUCACAUAAAAUUGUAAUAGACAAUAAAUAUUGUAUUGGCAUCCCCACAAUGGUUGAGUUAAGGGCUGUGACGGGGUCGAUCAAUUUUAUUUACUGUUGAUGUUCGCUUAUCAUUGAUUGGUGAUAUUGAUUUGGUAUUGAUUGAUUGAUCUGGGAUUGUUUAUGCCUGUUUCUGGAAUUUUGAAUAAACUUGCUUUAUUGUUCUGAA
Molecule: long non-coding RNA, 1391 nt
Filed under: Salmo salar (Atlantic salmon)
Lineage: Eukaryota; Metazoa; Chordata; Actinopteri; Salmoniformes; Salmonidae
Description: lncRNA (ENSSSAG00000108429.1)
Source: RNAcentral